CUACGGGUUGCUCCAGUGAGGAAUAUUGCACAAUGGGGGGAACCCUGAUGCAGCAACGCCGCGUGGAGGAUGACGCAUUUUGGUGUGUAAACUCCUUUUAUAUGUCAAGAAAGUGACGGUAGCAUAUGAAUAAGCACCGGCUAACUCCGUGCCAGCAGCCGCGGUAAUACGGAGGGUGCAAGCGUUACUCGGAAUCACUGGGCGUAAAGGACGCGUAGGCGGGUUGGAAAGUCAGGUGUGAAAUCCUACAGCUUAACUGUAGAACUGCACUUGAAACUUCUAAUCUAGAGUAUGGGAGGGGGAGAUGGAAUUAGUGGUGUAGGGGUAAUAUCCGUAGAUAUCACUAGGAAUACCUAAAGCGAAGGCGAUCUCCUGGAACAUUACUGACGCUAAGGCGUGAAAGCGUGGGGAGCAAACAGGAUUAGAUACCCCCGUAGUC
RNAcentral lists this ribosomal RNA (439 nucleotides) under uncultured bacterium. RNAcentral describes it as "partial 16S ribosomal RNA". It matches the Rfam family "Bacterial small subunit ribosomal RNA", at positions 339 to 795 of the family's 1533-position model. The record is from RNAcentral.